This 440-nucleotide unclassified non-coding RNA is filed under the name Chrysitrix capensis. RNAcentral describes it as "partial external transcribed spacer 1". The record is from RNAcentral. Lineage: Eukaryota; Viridiplantae; Streptophyta; Magnoliopsida; Poales; Cyperaceae.
UGGUGCCGUCUUUUCACUGUCUCGCACCCCUCGCAAUGGGGUGCUCGUUUUUGGUGCCUGUGCGGUUCUACCCUGGAGGGAUACGUUUGGAUCGUGAUUGAGGCUUGCUUGUCCCGCCGAAGAUUUUGUCUCGACGGGACAGUCGGAAUGUCGGCCAGCCCAGCGUGCGGUGGCGGCGCGUUGCUGUACCCCGCACAUCGGUGCUCGCCGGUGCUCUCGGAUGUCGGUGCUAAUUAUGGCGCAGGUCCUGCACGGACCCUGUUUGCCUCGUGGCGUCCCUGGUUCGGAAUUUUGCCCGGAUCGCUCCGCUGUCUAGCGGUGGAUUCCUUAUGGCGGACGGAACCGUCGGUCCGGGUCUGCACCCUGGACUUCGGAGCGGAUGGCGUUGAUUUUUCGGGCAAGCGAGAUGCGACCCGUUCAAUUUGCGAUUGCCGGUCCAC